AUUUCUUCAGAAUUUGAAAACUGACAUAAUUGGAGGAACUGUUUAUUUUAUCAAGGCUUUGACUGGAAUGAUAUGCUUUCCUUUAAAGAAUUAAACUUGACUUAUAGAGCCAAUAAAAGCACCUUGAGAAAACUGGCCUCAUACCUUGUCUACACAGCCCCUGUACAGCGUUCCUAACCUGUGGAUAAGAAACUCCUGCUAAAAAUGAGCUUUCCUAAUAACAUGGGACCUACCUGUCUAGGAAUAAACCAUCCUAAAAUGAGAAAUCACAGGAAACCUGAGACCAGAGACUCAUUUUCUUCUAAAAUGCCUUCUCUGAAAGAUUUCAAAAAGAAAAGGGGUAAAUAUGAAGGGGAAAUAAAUCUUGGGACCCCCAAAUCUCUAUGCUAAAGGGAAAGGUCAAGCUAGGAACUGCUUAGGGCAAACCUGCCUCCUAUUCUAUUCAAGGUCAUCCCUCUGCUCACUGAGAUAAAUGCACAUCUGACUGUCUUCUUUGGAAAUGCUAAUCAGAAACUCAAAAGAAUGCAACCAGUUUGUCUCUCACCUACCUAUGACCUGGAAACGGAAACCCCUUCCCCAUUUCGAGUUGUCCCUGCCUUUCCAGACUGAACCAAGGUACAACUUAUCCAUAUGGAUUGAUAUCUCAUGUCUCCCUAAAAUGUGUAAAAGCAAAGCUAUGUUCCCACCACCUUGGGCGCAUGUCAUCAGGACCUCCUGAGGCUGGGUCACAGGCAUGCAUCCUUAACUUUGGUAAAGUAAACUUCUUAAAUUGACUGAGACCUGUCUCAGAUAUUUUGUGUUCACAAGGAAUUAUCGUUAAGUUUUCUGGGUCUGGUCAUAAAAUUGUGUUUGUGUUAUGGAUAUACAAUUUGUCUAUGUCAGAGAUUUUUCCUAAAGAAUUUACAAGUAAAAGGAUAUUUUAUCCUUGAUUGCUUUAAGAUACUCUAGUAAAUGAACAAAAAGUGGUGGGGAGGACAGAGUAUAACUAAGAGCAACAGAAUGUUGCUCACUGUUAAAAUGGAGUGAUAGGUGCAUGGACACUUGUUAUACUAUUCUCUCUGCUUUGUGUAUGUUUGACAUUUUCCAUAAUAAAAAGGUAUUAAUUCCCUCAUUCCUGUCUCCCCAA
Molecule: long non-coding RNA, 1126 nt
Organism: Symphalangus syndactylus (siamang)
Lineage: Eukaryota; Metazoa; Chordata; Mammalia; Primates; Hylobatidae
Source: RefSeq, a predicted model, not a curated record